This 425-nucleotide ribosomal RNA is filed under the name uncultured bacterium. Its description in RNAcentral is "bacterial SSU rRNA". It matches the Rfam family "Bacterial small subunit ribosomal RNA", at positions 355 to 796 of the family's 1533-position model. The record is from RNAcentral.
UGGGGAAUCUUGCACAAUGGGGGCAACCCUGAUGCAGCGACGCCGCGUGAGCGAUGAAGCCCUUCGGGGUGUAAAGCUCUUUCGGCAGGAACGAAUACUGACGGUACCUGCAGAAGAAGCUGCGGCUAACUACGUGCCAGCAGCCGCGGUAAUACGUAGGCAGCAAGCGUUGUUCGGAGUUACUGGGCGUAAAGAGUGUGUAGGCGGUUCUCUAAGUUUGGUGUGAAAUCUCCCGGCUUAACUGGGAGGGUGCGCCGAAGACUGGAGGGCUUGAGUGUUGGAGAGGAAAGCGGAAUUCCUGGUGUAGCGGUGAAAUGCGUAGAUAUCAGGAGGAACACCGGUGGUGUAGACGGCUUUCUGGACAACGACUGACGCUGAGACACGAAAGCGUGGGGAGCAAACAGGAUUAGAUACCCCCGUAGUCC